Molecule: ribosomal RNA, 439 nt
Filed under: uncultured bacterium
Lineage: Bacteria
Description: partial 16S ribosomal RNA
Rfam family: Bacterial small subunit ribosomal RNA
Source: RNAcentral
CCUCGGGGGGCUGCAGUGGGGAAUAUUGGACAAUGGGCGAAAGCCUGAUCCAGCCAUGCCGCGUGAGUGAUGAAGGCCCUAGGGUUGUAAAGCUCUUUCAGUGGGGAAGAUAAUGACGGUACCCACAGAAGAAGCCCCGGCUAACUUCGUGCCAGCAGCCGCGGUAAUACGAAGGGGGCUAGCGUUGUUCGGAAUUACUGGGCGUAAAGCGCACGUAGGCGGAUUUUUAAGUCGGGGGUGAAAUCCCGGGGCUCAACCCCGGAAUAGCCUCCGAUACUGGAUAUCUAGAGGCCGAGAGAGGUGAGUGGAAUUCCGAGUGUAGAGGUGAAAUUCGUAGAUAUUCGGAGGAACACCAGUGGCGAAGGCGGCUCACUGGCUCGGUACUGACGCUGAGGUGCGAAAGCGUGGGGAGCAAACAGGAUUAGAUACCCCGGUAGUC